RNAcentral lists this ribosomal RNA (335 nucleotides) under uncultured bacterium. RNAcentral describes it as "bacterial SSU rRNA". It matches the Rfam family "Bacterial small subunit ribosomal RNA", at positions 8 to 333 of the family's 1533-position model. The record is from RNAcentral.
AGAGUUUGAUCCUGGCUCAGGACGAACGCUGGCGGCGUGCCUAAUACAUGCAGGUCGAGCGAAGUUAAGGGAGCUUGCUCCCAAGACUUAGCGGCGGACGGGUGAGUAACACGUGGGUAACCUGCCUGUAAGACCGGGAUAACUCCGGGAAACCGGAGCUAAUACCAGAUAAUCAACUUAGUUGCAUAACAAAGUUGUGAAAGAUGGCGCAAGCUAUCACUUACAGAUGGGCCCGCGGCGCAUUAGCUAGUUGGUAGGGUAAAGGCCUACCAAGGCAACAAUGCGUAGCCGACCUGAGAGGGUGAUCGGCCACACUGGGACUGAGACACGGCCCA